RNAcentral lists this ribosomal RNA (371 nucleotides) under uncultured bacterium. RNAcentral describes it as "bacterial SSU rRNA". It matches the Rfam family "Bacterial small subunit ribosomal RNA", at positions 525 to 896 of the family's 1533-position model. The record is from RNAcentral.
ACGUAGGGGGCAAGCGUUGUUCGGAUUUACUGGGCGUAAAGGGCAUCUAGGCGGUUAUGUAAGUGUGGAUUUAAAGGCAGAGGCUUAACCUCUUGCAUGGUCUGCAAACUGCAUAACUAGAGUACAGAAGGGGAAACUGGAAUUCCGCAAGUAGGGGUGAAAUCUGUAGAUAUGCGGAAGAAUACCGGUGGCGAAGGCGAGUUUCUGGUCUGUAACUGACGCUGAAAUGCGAAAGUGCGGGGAGCAAACAGGAUUAGAUACCCUGGUAGUCCGCACCGUAAACGUUGUACACUAGGUGUUAGAGGGUUAUUCCUCUAGUGCCGGAGCUAACGCGUUAAGUGUACCGCCUGGGGAGUAUGCUCGCAAGGGUG